GGGGGAGUAGCUCAGCUGGUUAGAGCGCUACGUUGACAUCGUAGAGGUCAGCGGUUCGAUCCCGUUCUUCCCCACCA
RNAcentral lists this transfer RNA (77 nucleotides) under Bacillota bacterium. Its description in RNAcentral is "Firmicutes bacterium (anaerobic digester metagenome) tRNA-Val". It matches the Rfam family "tRNA". From Rfam's summary of the family: Transfer RNA (tRNA) molecules are approximately 80 nucleotides in length. Their secondary structure includes four short double-helical elements and three loops (D, anti-codon, and T loops). Further hydrogen bonds mediate the characteristic L-shaped molecular structure. tRNAs have two regions of fundamental functional importance: the anti-codon, which is responsible for specific mRNA codon recognition, and the 3' end, to which the tRNAs corresponding amino acid is attached (by aminoacyl-tRNA synthetases). tRNAs cope with the degeneracy of the genetic code in two manners: having more than one tRNA (with a specific anti-codon) for a particular amino acid; and 'wobble' base-pairing, i.e. permitting non-standard base-pairing at the 3rd anti-codon position. The record is from RNAcentral. Lineage: Bacteria; Bacillati; Bacillota.